RNAcentral lists this ribosomal RNA (422 nucleotides) under uncultured beta proteobacterium. RNAcentral describes it as "bacterial SSU rRNA". It matches the Rfam family "Bacterial small subunit ribosomal RNA", at positions 9 to 437 of the family's 1533-position model. Lineage: Bacteria; Pseudomonadati; Pseudomonadota; Betaproteobacteria. The record is from RNAcentral.
GAGUUUGAUCCUGGCUCAGAUUGAACGCUGGCGGAAUGCUUUACACAUGCAAGUCGAACGGCAGCACGGGGGCAACCCUGGUGGCGAGUGGCGAACGGGUGAGUAAUACAUCGGAACGUGCCCAGUCGUGGGGGAUAACGUAGCGAAAGCUACGCUAAUACCGCAUACGAUCUCUGGAUGAAAGCGGGGACCGCAAGGCCUCGCGCGAUUGGAGCGGCCGAUGGCAGAUUAGGUAGUUGGUGGGGUAAAGGCUCACCAAGCCGACGAUCUGUAGCUGGUCUGAGAGGACGACCAGCCACACUGGGACUGAGACACGGCCCAGACUCCUACGGGAGGCAGCAGUGGGGAAUUUUGGACAAUGGGGCAACCCUGAUCCAGCCAUGCCGCGUGAGUGAAGAAGGCCUUCGGUUGUAAGCUCUUUC